GACAGCUGAGCAGCUGGAGCUAAGCAAAGCAGGGCAGCCAGCAGGACCUGAAAAGGUUUCAAAGUCUGCUCGGAACAAAAAGCUGAGUGUCUCGUUUUGUUGUUUUCGCAGGAGAAAAAGAGAGCGGCCGCACUGAGAGAAAGCCGAGAGCUCUUUUGUUCGUCCCCGAGCCAUCCCGGGAAUGGGCUGAAUUUGUUGUUUCAACGUUUUCUCAUCCAUCUGUUGGAAAAUGGGUGAGCUGGUCCCUGAUGGGCUGAGAGAUGGCCCUGUCCUGGGAAUUCCCUACCAGCUGUGUUCCGUGGGAAACUCGGACGCACUGCAGCAUCUCAACACAGCACGACUGGUCUGGACCAGCGAGGACAAAGCUGGGAAGCAGCCAGCAGCCCUUCAGGAGUUGGGAGAGGACAACAGCAGGGCAGGAUAGCAAACUGGGAACCUUGCAUCGUGCCCCAUGCGCUGCCUCCCUACCUGAUCCCUGCCACUGCUCCCAGUGCCACCACCUGCAACAGCUGCGGGGCUGGGAAACUCCACUUGCCCGGAGCCUGAUAAAUUAUACCUUAGUCCUGAAGGGGCUCGGGCUGUUUUUUUUUUUUUGCAAACACAUGCAGCACAAAAGCUGCCUUUCUCCCUCUCAUUUGACUUUGUUUUCUCUCCCUCCUCAUCUGCUUUCAGCCAAAUGGGUGAAUAGCUUCAGUAUAUACUGCAGGAGGAUAAAGCCAAGGCUGGAGCAGUGGGAAGGAUGCAGAACAGCAGUGCCCUGUGCCCGCUGCCUUCCGGAGGGGUGGGCACUGUUUGCCACCCUCGCUCUGUAACGCAGCCUCCAUCGCCUUGCUGAACCCUUUGAGACAGCAGCACUGAAAGAAAAUAUUUGUGCUCUGGCUAGCACAUGUGCACGCUUCCUGCUCUUGAAAUCCCUAAUUAAGCUUGUUUUUUAUUUUUUUUUCUUGUUGUUUAGAAAAUCCCUCUCUUUUUGGACAGGGAUGUUUUCUUCUAAGCCAUCAGGGAUCACCGUGUGAAGGAACGGAGGGGGAUGUCCCAUCCCUUGUCUGCUUUCUGCAGCCUCUGGGGUUAUUUUGGAGAUUCUCUCAUUUACUGGGUGGUUCAGCUGAGUCCAACCUCUCCUUGGGCUAAAAUCAUAUCCUGUCAGUCAGCUGGUAAUUAGAAAGCACCAAAAAGCCAGUGGUGCUUAAGGCAGUGCUGGGGUAACCAAGGCAGUUUCUACUUCUGUGGAUAAAGGACCGAGUUUGGAAGCUGUAGAUGUUUCCACUGAAAUCAGAUUUUGGUUUAAAAAGGGGAAGGAAGGUAACAUGGGGUGAAAAAUGCCUCCCAGGAGCGCAGCAGCACUACAGCACUGCUGCAGCCUGUGGGUUCACCCAGCUCUUACUGGUGCUGCGCUUAGAGAUGGCCCCUGCAUACCUAAGCGAGGUGACACAGAGUGUUAUCACCCAUCUCUGGCUGCAUGCUUGUGGCCUUGGAGAUGCACACUGCACUCCCUGGAGGUAGGACACCAGCAGGUAGUCUUUCUGCAGACACCUUAUCUUAUCCCAGUGAGACAAAGGAAGGCAGAGAGCAUUCUGCAGACUGCCCAGCCUGGCUGAAACACUCUGUUCCCUGAUAAGCUUGCAAGGUUGAUGGGGUAACACAGGAGAUGCUAUCCUGCUGGGCUGUGAUGGAGAAAACAAGCAGCCCUGGUCUAAUAGGAAUCACUGUUGUUCGGUGUUCUCCCUAAUGUGCCUGUUAGGAAUAGGAUCGGUGCAGCAAGGACAGCAAACAUCAUGAGGCACACAUACACAGAGUCUCCAUAGGAAAGCAAGGAUACCCUCGGGGAGGUCUGGGAGGCUGCAGUCCUGCAGAUGGAUGCUGAAGCUGCAGGCAUCCUGGAGGAGCCUCCCAGCUGGUGGAGGGCAGAAACCUCUGCUUGUCUGGCUCAGAGAUAAGCAGGCUUCAAGCAAAACAGCAGGGAGGAUAAGCCAGGGGAGCAUGGACAGAGUAAGCUGCAGCCCAGACAUCAAGGACGAGCAGCCUGGUUUCCAGCAAGCCAGACUGGGAGUUACUCCCCUGUGUGCACAAGGACGGCUGUCUCCAGGCUCAGCAGUGCCACAGUGUGCCACUCAGCUCUGCACCAAGCUAAUGGCACACACCCUGACCCUGCACAUGACCAUCAGAGCAGAGCUGCUGGGCAUGCAGCUGCCAGUAAUGGGCUGGCUGUGUCUGGGAGGAAGCUGAAAGCAGUAAUUAGCUAAUAUUGGCAAAAAUAUCAGCUCAGAAAAUGCAAGAAAAUGAUGCAACGAUGUUACCUUUAUCACUGAGCUUUUCUUAUAUUAAAAAAGUAAUAAAAAGGGUCUGCAAUGUGUUCCUUGAAACGUCGGCAGCCCCUGAAAGUGGAUCUGCAGCAGUUAGUUGUGCUUUAGAUCAAUGGUCGAGAAGGACUUGGGAGGUACUGAAGUUCUCCAGGAAAAGAUCAAGUUGCAACAGUGUCAAAUGUAACCUCAACGUGCAAGUGUGAAAUAUCUCCGAAAUAUAAAGUAACCACUUCAUUCCAACUUCCGCUGGUUUUCCUGUCUGCAGAUCAAGCCACAUGUAACUGGUAGACAUGGAAGACGUGAAACGACAGCGGACAAUCCCUUCAGUGGCUGAGACCUCAACUAAAUGGACGGAAGCUGGACUAAGCAACAGUGUAGCCCAUAAAAGAGUCCCACAUCCCCCUGCUCCGUCCAUCCCUUCUGCACUUCUCAUCAGCAUAGGCAUUCUCCUACCAUGCCGGUCGCACCUGGGGAUCUUGCCCAGCAUCAGGGCUUUGUGCUGCUGUUAAACUGUUUGUAAGUAGGCAUGGAAGGAGGCAAGAAGGUGAAGGGAUUGAUCCAGGUGUGCUGAGCUGGGCCCAGGAUCCAGAAUGAUUCCUCACAUUCCUAUGGUAACAGUCUGGUUUACUGAGAGAGCUGGAACACGCUCAGAUCUCUUCAGUGUUUCAUACACCUAAUAUAUACCUAGCCUCCUCACAGCAGGCUACUGCACAGACUUCUCCCCCAGGUAGGAUGCGCUCUUUCCAGUCUUCUUUAGAGUUUCCAAUAGGGUGUCAACAUUGUGCUCUGACUCAAUGUAUACUUUCUUGUUGGGCAGGUCAAUAUCAAACUGGACACCUGGAAGGUAAGGAAAAACAUUUUGCUUAGUUAGAAGCAACCAAAUGGUAUGAGAGCAGGGAAAAGCUCACUUUCAUGCAUUUGUGCUCCCAAAGCCACCAAGUCAAUCAUACAUGCCUCUUGUCAGCAAACCUCUGUUCUGUGACCAGCCAGUAUAACCAGAAUGGGGUCCCACCAGCACUGGUACAAAGGUACAGAUGUGCAUUAGGCACCGUAGCUUCUGGGGGGCCUUAUUAGGCUAGCACAAUCACAAGCAUUAACCAGAAUAAGCAGAGUUUAAACUAACCACUAUAAUAUCCAGUCAGCUCACUCUGUGCUGAGGUUCGGCAUGGAUGGGCACUAAUGAAGGAGAUGGUGUAGAAGUUAAGAUGGGGUUGGGGCACGUUUUAUCAGUGGCAGUACCAGCUAGCAGCUGUAAGCAGGAAGAAGACAGAGACACCUUCCAUGUGGAUAUCCUACUGGUAAAUAAAGGUCAGCCACUCUCAAACCA
Gallus gallus (chicken) is the source of this 3630-nucleotide long non-coding RNA. RefSeq lists it as uncharacterized. The record is from RefSeq and is a predicted model, not a curated record. The transcript is spliced from 3 exons. Lineage: Eukaryota; Metazoa; Chordata; Aves; Galliformes; Phasianidae.